This 300-nucleotide unclassified non-coding RNA is filed under the name uncultured Helotiales. Its description in RNAcentral is "sequence contains 5.8S rRNA gene, ITS2". The stretch from base 1 to 94 matches the Rfam family "5.8S ribosomal RNA", at positions 57 to 154 of the family's 154-position model. Lineage: Eukaryota; Fungi; Ascomycota; Leotiomycetes; Helotiales. The record is from RNAcentral.
GGUCAGAUGUGUAUAAGGGGCAGGUGAGUCAUCGAAUCUUUGAACGCACAUUGCGCCCCUUGGUAUUCCGGGGGGCAUGCCUGUUCGAGCGUCAUUAUAACCCCUCAAGCUCAGCUUGGUGUUGGGGCCUGCCAACUGGCAGCCCUUAAAAUCAGUGGCGGCGCCAUCUGGCUCUAAGCGUAGUAAUUUCUCUCGCUAUAGGGUCCCGGUGGAUGCUUGCCAACAACCCCCAAUUUUCUAUGGUUGACCUCGGAUCAGGUAGGGAUACCCGCUGAACUUAAGCAUAUCAAUAAGCGGAGG